This is an RNA transcript of Phymastichus coffea, 2571 nucleotides long. It is a transcript of the gene named tetraspanin-13, with no coding region annotated. Lineage: Eukaryota; Metazoa; Arthropoda; Insecta; Hymenoptera; Eulophidae. The transcript is spliced from 7 exons. The record is from RefSeq and is a predicted model, not a curated record.
UCCGACUUCCGUGCACAGACAGUCGGUAAAGCUGUGCCUGGUAGUGCGCUAUAUAGUCUAUAGAUGUGCGGGAGGGACGGGGGACCUUGGUGCGAAGCGAAGUAGUGCGGAGGAGGAGCUACGCACGCAACUUUUAGUCGUCUGCCCACUGUGCGGACAGUGUGCGGAGUGUGAAUUGAGAUAGGUAACCAACUGCGUUACUGUGAGCUUUUCAAGCUCUUUCAUUAUCAAGGUUCCACUUCACCGACGGAAAAUCAAGAUUCGCAUCUAGUCAGAUGUUUCUGUGAUAUACGAGUUGAUUUGAUUUGUAGUUAAAUUUCUUCCUUCCUUACAUUCCUUCCUUACUUAUUUCCUUCGUUGCGUAGGUCAAUCUAUAUAGCUACAUCAUUGAUUAAGUGGCAAGAAGAAGCUCCAACAUGUGUGGAGGAUUUACCUGCUCGAAAAACGCACUUACAGCGUUAAAUAUACUCUACAUUAUUGUUGCAUUUAUUUUAAUUGGAGUUGCUGUUUAUGGAAGAGCCUCUGCUGUGGUCACAAAUCUACCUAUUAUUGGAGGCAUUUUAGCCUGUGGAGUUAUACUGAUUCUCAUAUCAAUACUUGGUUUAAUUGGAGCUGUUAAACAUCACCAAGUUUUACUCUUCUUUUACAUGCUUAUUUUGUUCUUGCUGUUUCUAGUUCAAUUUAGCAUUGCUUGUGCCUGUUUAGCUGUAAAUACCAAACAGCAGGAACAAUUGGCAGAACAAGGUUGGCUUAAGGUGGAUACUUCGUUAAAAGAGAAUGUGCAAGAGUCUUUUCAUUGCUGUGGAUUUAACCAUACUAUCAAUGGCGUUGAUCAAUUUAUGAAUGUUUUACCAACAAAUGCUAAACCAAAUGAUCCUACAUGCGAUAAAGUGAAUAAAUAUUGUUGUCAAGAUUCUACAGAUCAAACAUGUCAAUGUCCACCAUGUAUGGGAAAAUUGCAAUCUACAAUUGAUUAUGCUUUCAAGUUAUGUGGUGGCAUAGGUCUGUUCUUUAGCUUUACCGAGUUUGUUGGUGUUUGGUUGACCGUGCGCUACAGGAACCAGAAAGAUCCGCGAGCUAAUCCUAGUGCUUUUCUCUAGUCUAACACCAUCGCCAUGUCCCCUGUCUCCCUGCACGAACCCCCUACUAGAUGGUGAUCGCAGCAUUUUUGGCAAGACGCUAUCGAAACCAGUUAGAUCCUGAAGAAUCGGCUGCUCGAGCUAUGUUUCCAAGACAUAAUUAUUUAUACUAAAACGUAUCUGCUCAACUAGCCAUUUACUACUUGGUCGCAUAUACAGAUUUGUUUUCAAAUACUCUUCAAGUCUUCAAAUGGAAUAGACUUAAUUUAAGUUUAAUUACUACAUAAGUACGAAAAUUCUUGCAUAAUGCAUUUUCAGCAAGCCAAAGAACAAACUUUGAUUGUAUGCAGGUGGUUUCGUCAGAAUGAAAUCAAUGCAUACUUUGUUCCUAGCAGAUAUUAUUUAUAACAACAGUAAAAUUAAAUGAAACGAUCUGUAUUCACAAUCAAAUGGAUUAUAAUAUAAUGAGAAAAGGAAGUUGCUUCCAAUAAACCAGUUUAUUUGCUGCGGAUUAAUUGAAAUCAAAUAGUUGCGAGAAUGUGUGCUCUAGUCAGCCACGUAAAACAUUCUUAUCAAGCCUCGAUGCACCUUGUGAUUAUUACAUUUUAUUUUAUCGUGUGAGAUUAAAAACAUUAGAUUUAUAGAACGUUAAUUUUAUGCAUUCCAAUCCUUGAUUAAUAUAUAAAAUAUGUUUAUAUAUUUUCUUGAUUAGUCGUUUUCUUUUUACAACAUCACUAUAAACAUCUGGUUAAUUCUUAUUAUUUCAAAAGAAUUUUCAAAGACUUAAUUGUCAGGAGGCUUUUUGCAUCACGAAUAAUACUACACUAAUUCUGUAAAAUAUGAAUCAAAACAAACAUGAACUAUAAUUGAUGUUCAAUUUAACAAGCCAUUAAAACUGUGUAGAUACAAAUGAAAAUAGAAAAUAUAGUUCUAUAUUUUAAAAUAAUCGUACGUAUAGACAUUUACAGUUAUUAUAAAUCAGAAAAAUAUUUUAUUUGAAGAAACUGUACGUUCUCUAUUCAAAUAAUGCUCUAACGUCAUUAUUUUUAUAUUUUUUAAAUCCUAGGAACUAUAUAAUUAUUGGUGAUCAAUAAUAAAUACUGUGUGCGUAAUGAGUUAAAUGCUUCGUACUCUGAUAGAUAAGCGAUUAAUUUAUUUGCAUGUGCUUUCAAGUGACACUGCAUUAUCCAUUGUAAUAUUGCUGAUAACACAUUUGCUGUUAAAUCAAAAUUAAUGUUGCAUUUAUUGCAUAUACUACGUGUUAAAAUAAUGUAUCGUUUGGAAAUCGCUACUGAAAAAUAUUAUCGACAUUGUCAUGUGUGAUGUUAUUCAUUAAUUUUAGGAAGCAAUAAAGAACAGUAUUGGGCUUUUCAAUAUGUUCAUCGUAGCUUGAGACUGUCGAAUAUGAUUCUUCGUUUGUCUCAAUCUGUAAGGUUGUCAGUCUAGCUGCAUAACCUGCAUCUUAUAAGUGUAUUAUUAAGAAAUGACUAUA